CAGCCGUCGGUCGCUGGUAAUUCCACUUUUUCGACGCGAGUUUCAAAUUGCCGGUGCUUGUUGUGUUGUGUUUUCGUCGCGAUUAUGAAAAACACCCUCCUCCUCACCACCCCCCCCACCCGCCGCAAACGGAAUUUUAAUAAUUGAAAUAUGAAACAUCCAUACGGUCUCUGCCUAAUUCCAUCCACAUCCACUGAUCGACAAGCGUUCUUUUGGUGUUUGCCAUGGAAAAAAACGGAAACCCCGGGUAUCAGUAAUUUGCCCGGACCGUUUUUUUCGUUAUGCUUUCAGAUUUCUUUUUUCGGGAUCCCGCCUUAUUGUGUUAUUGUUUCAGACACGAAAAUGGCAACGGCGAUGUCGCCACUUCGACCAGCAGCACUCGGAUAACACUUAUCGAUAGACUGACCGGAUUUAAUCGACGUUACGAGGAUGUCGGCAAUGCUUUUGGGAGUCCAUUGUGAGUCGUUAUAGUUCAAUAUGAUAAUAAUUGCCUUUGAAUUGUCCGGUGAACAAAAAAAAACAUUGUUUUCGAUUAUUAUCACAUGCCUGUCUUUGUUGAGCAAUGUUUAAUCAUUCU
Non-coding RNA from Cinara cedri, 577 nucleotides. The record is from the annotation of a GenBank genome assembly. NCBI's taxonomy places the organism in Eukaryota, Metazoa, Arthropoda, Insecta, Hemiptera, Aphididae.